GUUCCCUAAGGCAGAAGUGGAUCCCAGCUCACCAUGGACGUGGUUCUGAUCUGUACUGGCUUCUAGACUGGGAUCAGGACAUGGAUUAUCUGGAGGCCCUGCUAGAUGACAGCUGGCAAAACUUGGAGAAUGCUGGAGGCAAGUUCUCAAUGUGCUUUUCCUGAUGGAAUAAUGUCAAGCCAAGCCUCUUGCUGAAGGUGAUCUGGCUUCCCAACCCACGUCCAGGACUGAGGCUCUGGGAGAUGGCGAGGGGAUGGACCAAAAGACCAUGCAGGUGGAGACGUUUCCCAGAGGAAGCAGUGGCUCAUUGGCAGGAAA
This is a non-coding RNA of Cyanistes caeruleus (blue tit), 318 nucleotides long. NCBI's taxonomy places the organism in Eukaryota, Metazoa, Chordata, Aves, Passeriformes, Paridae. The record is from RefSeq and is a predicted model, not a curated record.